UUUAAUUCGACGCAACGCGCAGAACCUUACCAGCUCUUGACAUCUGUCGAACUUCCGAGAGAUCGGUUGGUGCCCGCAAGGGAGCGACAAGACAGGUGCUGCAUGGCUGUCGUCAGCUCGUGUCGUGAGAUGUUGGGUUAAGUCCCGCAACGAGCGCAACCCUCGCCUUUAGUUGCCAGCACGUUUGGGUGGGCACUCUAGAGGAACUGCCGGUGACAAGCCGGAGGAAGGUGGGGAUGACGUCAAGUCCUCAUGGCCCUUAUGGGCUGGGCUACACACGUGCUACAAUGGUGGUGACAGUGGGAAGCCAGGUCGCGAGGCCGAGCGGAUCCCUAAAAGCCAUCUCAGUUCAGAUUGCACUCUGCAACUCGGGUGCAUGAAGGUGGAAUCGCUAGUAAUCGCGGAUCAGCAUGCCG
This 416-nucleotide ribosomal RNA is filed under the name uncultured bacterium. RNAcentral describes it as "bacterial SSU rRNA". It matches the Rfam family "Bacterial small subunit ribosomal RNA", at positions 945 to 1359 of the family's 1533-position model. The record is from RNAcentral.